UGCCAGCCGCCGCGGUAAUACGGGGGGUCCUAACGUUGUUCGGAAUCAUUGGGCGUAAAGCGGGUGUAGGCGGCCCUAUAAGUCAGAUGUGAAAGCCCCGGGCUCAACCCGGGAAGUGCAUUUGAAACUAUAGGGCUUGAGUAUCUGAGAGGUUAGUGGAAUUCCUGGUGUAGAGGUGAAAUUCGUAGAUAUCAGGAGGAACAUCGGUGGGGAAGCCGGCUGACUGGCAGAAUACUGACGCUCAGACCCGAAAGCGUGGGGAGCAAACAGGAUAGAUA
This 278-nucleotide ribosomal RNA is filed under the name uncultured bacterium. Its description in RNAcentral is "partial 16S ribosomal RNA". It matches the Rfam family "Bacterial small subunit ribosomal RNA", at positions 506 to 784 of the family's 1533-position model. The record is from RNAcentral.